UCGAUGUGUCCUCGUCCUGUUUGUAGCGUU
RNAcentral lists this non-coding RNA (30 nucleotides) under Rattus norvegicus (Norway rat). Lineage: Eukaryota; Metazoa; Chordata; Mammalia; Rodentia; Muridae. The record is from RNAcentral.